GCUGUCGUGGCCUAGUUGGUUAGGGCGCCAGACUCAUAAUCUGGAGGCCGUGGGUUCGGAUCCCACCGACAGCA
Molecule: transfer RNA, 74 nt
Filed under: Methanoculleus sp.
Lineage: Archaea; Methanobacteriati; Methanobacteriota; Methanomicrobia; Methanomicrobiales; Methanomicrobiaceae
Also listed under: 1 other name
Description: tRNA-Met
Rfam family: tRNA
About the family: Transfer RNA (tRNA) molecules are approximately 80 nucleotides in length. Their secondary structure includes four short double-helical elements and three loops (D, anti-codon, and T loops).
Source: RNAcentral